This 50-nucleotide transfer RNA is filed under the name Campylopus introflexus. RNAcentral's name for it is "partial tRNA-Leu". The record is from RNAcentral. Lineage: Eukaryota; Viridiplantae; Streptophyta; Bryopsida; Dicranales; Leucobryaceae. RNAcentral also lists the same sequence under 5 other names.
AAAAUCCGUUGGCUUUAUUGACCGUGAGGGUUCAAGUCCCUCUAUCCCCA